AUUGAACGCUGGCGGCAGGCCUAACACAUGCAAGUCGAGCGGAUGAAGGGAGCUUGCUCCUGGAUUCAGCGGCGGACGGGUGAGUAAUGCCUAGGAAUCUGCCUGGUAGUGGGGGAUAACGUCCGGAAACGGGCGCUAAUACCGCGUACGUCCUGAGGGAGAAAGUGGGGGAUCUUCGGACCUCACGCUAUCAGAUGAGCCUAGGUCGGAUUAGCUAGUUGGUGGGGUAAAGGCCUACCAAGGCGACGAUCCGUAACUGGUCUGAGAGGAUGAUCAGUCACACUGGAACUGAGACACGGUCCAGACUCCUACGGGAGGCAGCAGUGGGGAAUAUUGGACAAUGGGCGAAAGCCUGAUCCAGCCAUGCCGCGUGUGUGAAGAAGGUCUUCGGAUUGUAAAGCACCUUAAGUUGGGAGGAAGGGCAGUAAGUUAAUACCUUGCUGUUUUGACGUUACCAACAGAAUAAGCACCGGCUAACUUCGUG
This 484-nucleotide ribosomal RNA is filed under the name uncultured bacterium. RNAcentral describes it as "partial 16S ribosomal RNA". It matches the Rfam family "Bacterial small subunit ribosomal RNA", at positions 30 to 507 of the family's 1533-position model. The record is from RNAcentral.